UACGAAGGGGGCUAGCGUUGUUCGGAAUCACUGGGCGUAAAGCGCGCGUAGGCGGAUUGUUAAGUCAGGGGUGAAAUGCCGAGGCUCAACCUCGGAACUGCCUUUGAUACUGGCAAUCUUGAGUCCGGGAGAGGUGAGUGGAACUCCUAGUGUAGAGGUGAAAUUCGUAGAUAUUAGGAAGAACACCAGUGGCGAAGGCGGCUCACUGGCCCGAUACUGACGCUGAGGCACGAAAGCGUGGGGAGCAAACAGG
This 253-nucleotide ribosomal RNA is filed under the name uncultured bacterium. RNAcentral's name for it is "partial 16S ribosomal RNA". It matches the Rfam family "Bacterial small subunit ribosomal RNA", at positions 524 to 776 of the family's 1533-position model. The record is from RNAcentral.